UCAACGGGUAACGGGGAAUUAGGGUUCUAUUCCGGAGAGGGAGCCUGAGAAACGGCUACCACAUCCAAGGAAGGCAGCAGGCGCGCAAAUUACCCAAUCCCGACACGGGGAGGUAGUGACAAUAAAUACUGAUACAGGGCUCUUUUGAGGUCUUGUACAUUUGGAACUUGCAGUAACAACUUUAAAAUCCCUUUAAACGAGGGGAAACAAUUCGGAGGGCCAAGUCUGGUGCCAGCAAGCCGCGGUAAUUCCAGCUCCAAUAGCGUAUAUUACAAGUUGUUCGCAGUUAAACAAGCUCGUAGUUGAACCCUUGGGCCUGGCUGGACGGUCCGGCCUCACCGCGUGCACUGGUCCGGCCGGGCCUUAUCCCUUCUGGGGAGC
This 381-nucleotide ribosomal RNA is filed under the name uncultured fungus. RNAcentral's name for it is "bacterial SSU rRNA". It matches the Rfam family "Eukaryotic small subunit ribosomal RNA", at positions 352 to 711 of the family's 1831-position model. Lineage: Eukaryota; Fungi. The record is from RNAcentral.